Molecule: long non-coding RNA, 3185 nt
Organism: Olea europaea var. sylvestris
Lineage: Eukaryota; Viridiplantae; Streptophyta; Magnoliopsida; Lamiales; Oleaceae
Exons: 7
Source: RefSeq, a predicted model, not a curated record
AACCCAUAUUUGUCUAACUGGGUUUCGGGGUCCCUUGCACACAGAAAAGUAAAAUUCAGAGAAAAACCCUCCGAAAUUUUCCACCAAAAUUCGGAGAAAAAUCGCCGGACUGAGUGUGGGAUUGAAGGUAAGAACUUGUUUUCCACCAAAAUAAAUUAUGUCCACAUGCUUCCUUCGUUAACCCGAGCUUGAAACCUUCCGAUUCACCUAAGACUUUCGGCUGAAGGAGACCGCGACCAUGCAAUCAAACUAGUUUCUUCCGACGGGGAUUUAGCUACUUCACUUGUGAAAGAAUCUGGAAACAACUUGGUGGCAUAUGGAUGGACAGAAUGAUGGAGAAAGGAAAAGAGGUUGUGGAAGUAUUGGACAAUGAAGUUUUAGUAGAAUCCAAUAAUAACAACAAUACGGAGAAUGUCGUCAAUAAUACAAACAAUGUUGUCACAUUAGACGAUGAUAUCAUAGGAGGAGAUGGCGUGAUUGUGCCAAAUUGGUAUGGAGUUCAAAGAUGAGAAAGAGGUGUAUGAGUUUUAUAAGAGGUAUGCGUAUCACGUAGGUUUUCCGGUUAGGAGGAAGAAUUCUAGAAAGGGAGAAGAUGGAGUAGUGAAUUACGUUACGUUGACAUGUUGUCGUGAGGGCUGGAGAAGUAGUAAUGCAGGUGCUUCUUUGAAGCCGCAUCCAACAAUUCAGACAGGUUGCAAAGAAAGACUUACUGCUACUUCGAUAUUCGUCGAAUUUGGAAAAUUCGCACAAUUGAUCUCAAACACAAUCAUAAAACUAGUCCUUCAAAAUCCAGAUUGUAUCGUUGCAAUCGAGAAUUGAGUGCAAAUGUCAAACGCAAGCUCGAAGUGAACGAUAUGACUGGAAUACCUUUGCACAAGAGUUACAACUCAUCAGUUGUUGAAGCAGACGGGUAUGAGAACAUGACUUGCGUGGAAAAAGAUUGUCAAAAUUACAUUGAACAAGUGAGGCGAUUAAGACUCGGUGAAGGAGAUGUUGCGACAAUACAAUCCUACCUUUCACAAAUGCAAGCACAGUGCUUAGGUUUUUACUUCUAUAUGGAUUUAGAUGAAGAGUCACGGAUUAGGAAUCUCUUCUGGGCAGAUAAGAAGUGUAGGCAAGCAUAUAAGGAGUUCGGGGAUGCAGUGACGUUUGAUACCACUUAGCUCACAAAUAAAUACGGCAUGCCUUUUGCCCCCUUCCUUGGAGUAAGUCAUCAUGGACAAUCAACACUCUUUGGAUGUGGUUUGUUGGCAAAUGAAGAUACAUAUACAUUUGUUUGGCUAUUCAGGACAUGGAUGUAGUGUAUGCAUGGUCAAGCACCAAAUGGAAUCAUUACCAAUCAAGACAAGACUAUGCAAAAUGCAAUUGCGAUAGUCUUUCCAAAGUCGAGGUAUAGAUGGUGUUUGUGGCAUAUAUUGAAAAAGUUGCCGGAGAAGUUUGGGUACCACGUUCAGAAGGGCUCCAUUUUUUUGUCUAUACAUAGCUUAGUGUAUGAUACACAAGUCGUUGAGGAAUUCUAAGAAGGUUGGAAAGCUAUGCUUGAUACAUAUAACUUACAUAAGAAUGAUUGGUUGUUGGGGUUGUUUGAGAACAAGGGUCGUUGGGUGCCAUGUUAUUUAAAAACAACAUUUUAGGCGGAGAUGUCAAUAACUCAGCGCAGUGAGAGUAUGAAUGUGUUCUUCGAUGGUUAUGUGCAUUCUAAGAUAUCGUUGAAAUAGUUCGUCGAACAAUAUAAGCGAGCAUUACGAAAUAAAUUUGAGAAGGAAUUCCAAACAGAUUUCAAGUCUUACUCAUAGAUGGUAUUCUGUGCAACAAAAUAUGAAAUGGAAAAGCAAUUCCAGGUUGUUUAUACCAUUUCAAAAUUUUGGGGAUUUCAAGAUGAGAUAACUGGGAAUGUCUACUGCGAUAUGAUAUCUGCAUUUGAUAUAUGUUCGGAGAAGUUGUAUGAGGUUGAGGAGGAUGUCAUUUACAAAGAAAAUGUUAGAAAGAAAAAGUUUUCAGUCACAUUUCGAGCAGAGGAUUGCAAUGUUAUUUGCAGUUGCCACUUAUUCAAGUUUCGUAGCAUUUUGUGUAGACAUGACAUAUCAGUGUUGAUGCGUCAUGGCGUCACAUCACUAUUGGAGAGGAACAUAUUGAAGAGAUGGAGACGAGAUAUUAGUAGAGCCCACACGAGGGUUGUUGUGAAUUACUCCGGUUUGGUUAGCACUCCUAGCCAGUUGAGGUAUGAUAAAAUGGGUGAAGUGUUCGCGAUGUUGGCAAACAGUGCUGCCAACGAUGAAGAGCGAACUCGUGCGAUAAUAGAUUGGAUUCAAUCGUAGUCCAAAGACAUGAUGUCUACGAAGACGAGUUGGGCAGCAUCGACUUCCAGCAAAGGAUAGAGAUCGAGAGCAGCAAAAAACAAUCUUCGACCCGACACACCAUUCGUUCAGUCCUCGCCACAUGUACAAUAUUCAAUGAUGACACAAUUCUCAAAUUCACAAGUCAUAGCUGAAAUUCUUGGACUAAAACAAAUUUACGAAGGGAAAUACAAGUUUUAUUGCUUCACGUAGGGUGACAGGGAAAGUCACGCACUAACCCAACAAGUGCCAUCUACAAAUUUUAUUCCCGCGUCAACAUCGAAUGUUUUGUUCAAAUAUCCCGGGAAUACAAUGUUAUUGUCCCGAUUUGUCGUACAAUGUUGGAACACAAUUGGGAAUGACAUCGUUCACAAUUGAUGUUUUUCCUCUUGGAUUUCAUGGUACAUUGUCUUCACCAACUAACAUAGCAGAUUGGAUGUCCAGUCCCCCCCCAUACCAUUCCACAUGCUGCUAUUGCUGGAGGUCGUUCUACUCUUGUUCAGAAUCUGAGUUCACGAAUGGCUCAUCAAGAUCCUGCAAGUGAUAUUGCAAUGAAAUCUCAAGAUGCUGGUUUAUCAAGGGGACUACUAUUUAAUUCCUGCAAUGUAACUCAAUAGGCUAGUAAAUGAUUUUAUUUUUUUUCAAAAUUUGUUGUCAACGAAUGGUAUUUUCUUGUAGAUGUUUUUUCUUUUGGUUUUUGAAGAAAGUGUACUUGUGUGGUUAUUAAUUUGUAGAAUUAGAUGCUGCUGGUGCUAUCUUGCUAUUGUCGUUUAAACAACAUUGACAAAUGUUGGAGGAUUUAUUUGUAAAAUUUCCUUCAGUGCAAAUGUAACUGUUAAUUUCCUAGUA